GACGAACGCUGGCGGCGUGCUUAACACAUGCAAGUCGAACGGUAAGGCCCUUCGGGGUACACGAGUGGCGAACGGGUGAGUAACACGUGGGUGAUCUGCCCUGCACUUCGGGAUAAGCCUGGGAAACUGGGUCUAAUACCGGAUAGGACCACUGCCUGCAUGGGUGGUGGUGGAAAGCUUUUGCGGGGUGGGAUGGGCCCGCGGCCUAUCAGCUUGUUGGUGGGGUGAUGGCCUAGCAAGGCGACGACGGGUAGCCGGCCUGAGAGGGUGAACGGCCAGCCUAGCACGGAGAUAAGGCCCAGACUCGUCCGGGAGAAAGCAGGGGGGAAUAUUGCCCGAGGGGCGCAAGCGGGAGGCAGCGGGGCGGCGUGAGGGAUGAAGGCCUUCGGAUUGUAAACCUCUGUCAGAAGCCACGAAGCGCAAGUGACGGUAGGUGCAGAAGAAGGACCGGCCAACUACGUGCCAGCAGCCGCCGUAA
RNAcentral lists this ribosomal RNA (478 nucleotides) under uncultured bacterium. Its description in RNAcentral is "partial 16S ribosomal RNA". It matches the Rfam family "Bacterial small subunit ribosomal RNA", at positions 28 to 523 of the family's 1533-position model. The record is from RNAcentral.